This 467-nucleotide ribosomal RNA is filed under the name uncultured bacterium. RNAcentral's name for it is "partial 16S ribosomal RNA". It matches the Rfam family "Bacterial small subunit ribosomal RNA", at positions 28 to 506 of the family's 1533-position model. The record is from RNAcentral.
GACGAACGCUGGCGGCGUGCUUAACACAUGCAAGUCGAACGGAAAGGCCCUGCUUUUGUGGGGUGCUCGAGUGGCGAACGGGUGAGUAACACGUGAGUAACCUGCCCUUGACUUUGGGAUAACUUCAGGAAACUGGGGCUAAUACCGGAUAGGAGCUCCUGCUGCAUGGUGGGGGUUGGAAAGUUUCGGCGGUUGGGGAUGGACUCGCGGCUUAUCAGCUUGUUGGUGGGGUAGUGGCUUACCAAGGCUUUGACGGGUAGCCGGCCUGAGAGGGUGACCGGCCACAUGGGGACGGGGAUAGGGCCCAGACCCCUACGGGGGGCAGGGGGGGGAAAUAUUGCACAAGGGGCGGAAGCCUGAUGCAGCAACGCCGGGGGGGGGAUGACGGCCUUGGGGUUGUAAACCGCUUUCGCCUGUGACGAAGCGGGAGUGACGGUAAUGGGGAAAGAAGCACCGGCUAACUACGG